RNAcentral lists this long non-coding RNA (1811 nucleotides) under Homo sapiens (human). Its description in RNAcentral is "ST8SIA6 antisense RNA 1". Lineage: Eukaryota; Metazoa; Chordata; Mammalia; Primates; Hominidae. The record is from RNAcentral.
AUUCAGGCCUCCGCCAGCUUCUAGGCCCUGGGGAUGGUCUUUCACCUCCCUCUUUCUGAUCUCUUUUUCAUGCUCCUCCUUGCUCCAAAGAAAAGCCGGAUGGCAAAAGAGCCCAGAACCUAUUGGAACUGACAAAAUCAAGUCACGGCGCCUACAAAGAUGAGGGGCAGAUUCUGGCUGCCUUUUAAUUUCGUCCUUCACCUGAUAUCUGUGCCAGAGAAUGAUAAAAAUCAUAAUAAAGGAAAUAAUGGAAGAGGAGACUUAUGUUACUGGGGACAUCUAACAUAAUUAUUUUCCUGAUUCAGUGGCAUGGUUCAGUCUUCCAGGAGUUCUGCUACAGAGAAGAGAGUAACCCCCAUCCAUCAUGGCCAAAGCACCCAGUCAGGCUCCGCUCUGGAUCCAGCCCGACAAAUGCAACCCUUGAAUAGGGUUUGUGCAAGCAAACUGGAUGACGACCGAAGAAACCCUGUCGCUUCUGAGAAGACACCCAAUCCAAGAAUGAAAGCAUCAGGUUCAAUACCUAGGAACUCCUGUAGAGGGUGUUGUGGAAUCUUCUUUAAAAGAACAAAACAAGGCAAAACAAAGUUUAAUAGGGUAGAGCAGCCAGGUGUGGUGGGUCAUGCCUGUAAUCUCAGCAAUUUGGGAGGCCAAGGCAGGAUCUCAGCAAUUUGGGAGGCGAAGGCAGGCAGAUCACUUGAGCCUAGGAGUUCAAGACCAGCUUGGGCAACAUAGCAAGACCCUGCCUAUACCAAAAAAAAAAAGUGAACCUAGGAGUAUGAGGCUGCAGUAAGCUGUGGUUGUACCAGUGCACUUUGGGAGGCCAAGGUAGGCGGGUCUUCUGAGAUCGAGAGUUUGAGACCAGCCUGACCAACAUGGAGAAACCCCGUCUCUACUAAAAGUACAAAAUUAGCCGGCAUGGUGGUGCAUGCCUGUAAUCCCAGCUACUCGGGAGGCUGAGGCGGGAGAAUUGCUUGAACUCAGGAGGCAGAGGUUGUGGUGAGCCAAGAUCGCGCCAUUGCACUCCAGCCUGGACAACAAGAGCGAAACUCCAUCACAAACAAACAAACAAUAAACAAAAACCAUAGAGUGAUUUCUGGCCAACAGAGCAAGAAAGAAGUGAACCAAUGAAAACCGGUCCAAGUCUGGGAGUCAAUAUGGAAAAGCUGCCUAAUUAAUGUGGAAGCCCCAGGGAAAUGAUAUACCAUGAAAACCUAACACUACAAAAACUAGUUGUCAGACACAUGUGAGCAGUGAACAGAAUCCUAAUAUGCUGGUUUAACAUUCAAAACUGGAGAGUGUUUGUGUAUCUUCUAAAGACUGUUUGGGGUUUAUUUGUGGAGUUCAGCUGAGUGUCAUCAGAACAAAGAUUAGUGCAAAAAAUCUUUCAGAAAUCAUGCCCAAACAUUUGCAUGCACCUUAAAUAAGAAAUGAAAUAGCAAGAAGAGUAUGUCACAAUAAAGUAUAAAUAGCAAGUGAUAUGUCUCAUCGUACUGAGACAGUUUUAUAAAUGAGGCAAAGGCCUUGUCAAAAAAUAAUGAUGAUUUUCAAAAUUCUGAAACGCAAAGGAGGAAAACUACUUCAUUCAGUUAACAGGAAGCACACAAGAAUCUCCCCAUCAACCAAGAUUUUUUUUUUCUAUAACCCACGCUUUGUAAGACAAUAAUAGCAAAAACUAUAAACUAGAAUUUGUUGAAAGAACAACUUCUAGAAUUUGCCCUUUAUGUGCUGUUUUACCAUUGUCAUGUCUGUCUCUGGUAUGACUUCCUCAUCUAUUAGUAGCCUCCUAAUAAAUUUGAACAAAUGAAUGAAUG